This 408-nucleotide ribosomal RNA is filed under the name uncultured bacterium. RNAcentral's name for it is "partial 16S ribosomal RNA". It matches the Rfam family "Bacterial small subunit ribosomal RNA", at positions 28 to 526 of the family's 1533-position model. The record is from RNAcentral.
GACGAACGCUGGCGGCGUGCUUAACACAUGCAAGUCGAACGAAGUGGCGAACGGGUGAGUAACGCGUAAUCAACCCGCCCUUCAGGGGGGGACAACAGUUGGAAACGACUGCUAAUACCGCAUACUGAAGGAGGGGAUUGCGUCUGAUGAGCUCGUUGGCGGGGUAACGGCCCACCAAGGCGAUGAUCAGUAGCCGGUCUGGGAGGAUGAACGGCCCCCUUGGGACUGGGGCACGGCCCAGACUCCUACGGGAGGCAGCAGUGGGGGAUCGUCCGCAAUGGACGGAAGUCUGACGGAGCAACGCCGCGUGGGUGAUGACGGCCUUCGGGUUGUAAAGCUCUGUUAAUCGGGACGCGGUACCGGAAUAGAAAGCCACGGCUAACUACGUGCCAGCAGCCGCGGUAAUAC